CACUCAUAUUAGCAAUACAAAAUAGAGAGUUGGACAAAAACGGACCCCUGGAUAUACCAGCGGUGGGAUAAGGUACCUAGGAGGAGUAAGCAUCUCCUGUCGGCCGGUCACAUCCUCCACGAAUGCUAUAUCUUGAUCAGGUGCCAUGCAUUUAGCGAAGGAGCAUUUACUACAUUUACCUAGGUUUGACGUAGCCUUGGCACGAGCGGAACUCACUGACGACCUCCCGUUCACGAAGCGAAUGCUCUACCAUUGAGCUACGGGGACCAGUACUGCGCUUAGUCACUAACCAUCUAAAUUGUGUCAAUUGAGUAAAUAGUUCUGGCUUUGUAUGGACUAAAUGAAUAAUAGUUGAAACCAGGUUUCGUAAAAAAUCUGCUUUGAGUAUAAUAAAUGGAAAGUCCUCC
Molecule: long non-coding RNA, 407 nt
Organism: Ostrea edulis (European flat oyster)
Lineage: Eukaryota; Metazoa; Mollusca; Bivalvia; Ostreida; Ostreidae
Exons: 2
Source: RefSeq, a predicted model, not a curated record